RNAcentral lists this ribosomal RNA (497 nucleotides) under uncultured bacterium. RNAcentral describes it as "partial 16S ribosomal RNA". It matches the Rfam family "Bacterial small subunit ribosomal RNA", at positions 28 to 507 of the family's 1533-position model. The record is from RNAcentral.
GAUGAACGCUGGCGGCGUGCCUAAUACAUGCAAGUCGAGCGAACAGAUGAGGAGCUUGCUCCUCUGACGUUAGCGGCGGACGGGUGAGUAACACGUGGAUAACCUACCUAUAAGACUGGGAUAACUUCGGGAAACCGGAGCUAAUACCGGAUAAUAUAUUGAACCGCAUGGUUCAAUAGUGAAAGACGGUUUUGCUGUCACUUAUAGAUGGAUCCGCGCCGCAUUAGCUAGUUGGUAAGGUAACGGCUUACCAAGGCAACGAUGCGUAGCCGACCUGAGAGGGUGAUCGGCCACACGGGAACUGAGACACGGUCCAGACUCCUACGGGAGGGAGCAGGAGGGAAUCUUCCGCAAUGGGCGAAAGCCUGACGGAGCAACGCCGCGGGAGUGAAGAAGGUUCUCGGAUCGUAAAACCCUGUUAUUAGGGAAGAACAAAUGUGUAAGUAACUAUGCACGUCUUGACGGUACCUAAUCAGAAAGCCACGGCUAACUACGUG